Molecule: ribosomal RNA, 585 nt
Filed under: uncultured bacterium
Lineage: Bacteria
Description: bacterial SSU rRNA
Rfam family: Bacterial small subunit ribosomal RNA
Source: RNAcentral
CCUACGGGAGGCAGCAGUGGGGAAUUUUGGACAAUGGGCGCAAGCCUGAUCCAGCAAUGCCGCGUGAGUGAAGAAGGCCUUCGGGUUGUAAAGCUCUUUUGUCAGGGAAGAAACGGUGGGGGCUAAUAUCCCCUGCUAAUGACGGUACCUGAAGAAUAAGCACCGGCUAACUACGUGCCAGCAGCCGCGGUAAUACGUAGGGUGCAAGCGUUAAUCGGAAUUACUGGGCGUAAAGCGUGCGCAGGCGGUUUUGUAAGUUUGUCGUGAAAUCCCCGGGCUCAACCUGGGAAUGGCGAUGAAGACUGCAAGGCUAGAAUCUGGCAGAGGGGGGUAGAAUUCCACGUGUAGCAGUGAAAUGCGUAGAGAUGUGGAGGAACACCGAUGGCGAAGGCAGCCCCCUGGGUCAAGAUUGACGCUCAUGCACGAAAGCGUGGGGAGCAAACAGGAUUAGAUACCCUGGUAGUCCACGCCCUAAACGAUGUCUACUAGUUGUCGGGUUUUAAUUAACUUGGUAACGCAGCUAACGCGUGAAGUAGACCGCCUGGGGAGUACGGUCGCAAGAUUAAAACUUAAAGGAAUUGACGG